Molecule: ribosomal RNA, 301 nt
Filed under: uncultured bacterium
Lineage: Bacteria
Description: partial 16S ribosomal RNA
Rfam family: Bacterial small subunit ribosomal RNA
Source: RNAcentral
CAGCAGCCGCGGGAAUACGAAGGGGGCUAGCGUUGCUCGGAAUGACUGGGCGUAAAGGGCGCGUAGGCGGAUCACGCAGUCAGAUGUGAAAUUCCUGGGCUUAACCUGGGGGCUGCAUUUGAGACGCGUGGUCUAGAGUGUGAAAGAGGGUCGUGGAAUUCCCAGUGUAGAGGUGAAAUUCGUAGAUAUUGGGAAGAACACCGGUGGCGAAGGCAGCCAUCUGGCCUAAUACUGACGCUGAGGUACGAAAGCAUGGGGAGCAAACAGGAUUAGAUACCCCAGUAGUCCCUGUCUCUUAUAA